Octopus bimaculoides (California two-spot octopus) is the source of this 160-nucleotide non-coding RNA. The record is from Rfam. NCBI's taxonomy places the organism in Eukaryota, Metazoa, Mollusca, Cephalopoda, Octopoda, Octopodidae.
AAGUAAUUUCUAUGACCACUUGGUUUGUCUGUCGAUGAAGAGAGUCUGGCUAUCCACACGAACUGAUGCGGAUUGCAGGACUCAGUGAACACUGACUCUUCGAAUGCACAUUGUGGCCGUGGAGUCCCAUCGUCCCAGGGCCCCGUCCGGUUGAGAGGUC